UACGUAGGAUCCAAGCGUUGUCCGGAUUUACUGGGCGUAAAGGGCGUGCAGACGGUUUGUUAAGUCUAGGGUGAAAGCUCCCGGCUCAACUGGGAGAGGUCCUUGGAUACUGGCAAACUUGAGGGAGGCAGAGGAGAGUGGAAUUCCCGGUGUAGUGGUGAUAUGCGUAGAUAUCGGGAGGAACACCAGUGGCGAAGGCGGCUCUCUGGGCCUUUCCUGACGCUGAGACGCGAAAGCGUGGGGAGCGAACCGG
This 253-nucleotide ribosomal RNA is filed under the name uncultured bacterium. RNAcentral's name for it is "partial 16S ribosomal RNA". It matches the Rfam family "Bacterial small subunit ribosomal RNA", at positions 524 to 776 of the family's 1533-position model. The record is from RNAcentral.